Long non-coding RNA from Balaenoptera ricei (Rice's whale), 679 nucleotides. RefSeq lists it as uncharacterized. The record is from RefSeq and is a predicted model, not a curated record. Lineage: Eukaryota; Metazoa; Chordata; Mammalia; Artiodactyla; Balaenopteridae. The transcript has 3 exons.
CAGAGCGGUGGGCCUCCGCUGCCCAGCGCGUCGGGCGGACUGCGGGCCUUUCGCGCCGGGUCCGCUUCCCGGGUGGUCCCUUCCCCGUCUUGGUCAGUGCCCCAGCUUCUGCGUGUGCUCACCUCCUCCUGGACGGCAAGCCCAUGGAACCAGUGUGCAGAGAGGCAUCCUCAGACCUCAACUAGAGCCGUGGUUACCGAACUCUAGGGCCGGCAAUGGACACCCAGCAAUGCUCAAUAAAUGUUGCGAAAGAAAGAUCAAAUGAAGCCCAACUUCCUGUUCCAUCAAUUGAUCCUAACAUUUUUGGAGAGGCUGGUGUAUUCAAGCACCACAUAGACGAGGCCUGAACCCCUGCAGCCCUCCCCUGAACCUGGCAGGUCUACUGAGAGAGGGAAGGGGAGAAGAGGGAGAGCAGUGCCCAGCAUAGCCAGGGGCAUCCCCAGCAGUGAAGCCAAGCUCCGUGAGAAGGAAGCAAUAAGAAGAGCAAAGCGAAGGUUGAAAAUUUAUAAUGAAGAUGUUAAGAAUCACUACACAGACGUCUGGAAAAAAAUGGUUAAAAAAAAAAAAGAGAAAAGAAAAAGCUUGAAAGUGAUGAUAAAAGGGUUUGGAAGUUGCCUAGAGAUAAGCUUGAUGAGGAAAUUCUAAGCUGUGAUGAGUACAGGAGAUGCAGUUAUUUGAU